Molecule: long non-coding RNA, 207 nt
Filed under: Bos taurus (domestic cattle)
Lineage: Eukaryota; Metazoa; Chordata; Mammalia; Artiodactyla; Bovidae
Description: long non-coding RNA NONBTAT007059
Source: RNAcentral
AUCACUGCUUGCCAUUGUGUAUUUUGUUAGUGCUAUGUGUUUUAAAAAGAAUUCAGUAUAAAUGUGGAUUAUAAAUAUCUAGUUAAAAGAAGCAUUAUAAAAUGUUGUUCAGACUAUUAUAAUAUUUGGCCUUAAUUUAAGUUGAACUCUUGUAAAAUUUUAUUUUUUUACUCUUACCAGUGGUCUUAGUAUAUUUGCCUUAUUGGC